This 276-nucleotide long non-coding RNA is filed under the name Glycine max (soybean). Its description in RNAcentral is "long non-coding RNA (GMAX_LNC003162)". Lineage: Eukaryota; Viridiplantae; Streptophyta; Magnoliopsida; Fabales; Fabaceae. The record is from RNAcentral.
UCAUGGUCAUCAAACGCUUACCUUCAAUAAGGUUGAGUUGGUCGUAGCGUGUUUGAGCCCACUCUGAUUCUUCUAGGACCGAUUCCACUAGUAUUUUCUGGGAAGGGACCUCUACCUCAAAUGGGAGUACCGCUUCCAUCCCAUAAACCAAGGAAUACGGCGUUGCCCCAGUAGAAGUUCGUACCGAGGUUCGAUAUCCAUGCAGGGCAAAAGGCAACAUCUCAUGCCAAUAUUUGUAUGACACUGUCAUCUUCUGAAUAAUCUUCUUAAUAUUUU